GGCGAGUGAAGCGGCAAAAGCUCAAAUUUGAAAUCCCGCGGGAAUUGUAAUUUGAAGGUUGGGGAAAAAGUAACGUGUUUUUCUAAGUCUAUUGGAAAAUGGCGCCACAGAGGGUGAUAGCCCCGUCUGAUUCAACACAAUACAUAUCUUCCCCCUCCAAAGAGUCGAGUUGUUUGGGAAUGCAGCUCUAAGUGGGUGGUAAAUUCCAUCUAAAGCUAAAUAUUGGCGAGAGACCGAUAGCGAACAAGUACAGUGAUGGAAAGAUGAAAAGCACUUUGAAAAGAGAGUGAAAAAGUACGUGAAAUUGUUGAAAGGGAAGGGCUUGCAAGCAGACACAACUUUUUGUUGGGCCAGCAUCGGGGGAGUAGGAGGCAAAAAGGAGUAGAAAUGUAGCUUCGGUGUUAUAGUCUGCUCUCAUACCUCCCCACCCUCCCGAGGCCUGCGUUCUGGAUGCUGGGUAAUGGUUGCAAGUCGCCCGUCCUUGAAACACGGACCAACA
RNAcentral lists this ribosomal RNA (499 nucleotides) under Metschnikowia gruessii. RNAcentral's name for it is "partial 26S ribosomal RNA". It matches the Rfam family "Eukaryotic large subunit ribosomal RNA", at positions 88 to 671 of the family's 3401-position model. Lineage: Eukaryota; Fungi; Ascomycota; Pichiomycetes; Serinales; Metschnikowiaceae. The record is from RNAcentral.